This 242-nucleotide long non-coding RNA is filed under the name Prunus persica (peach). RNAcentral's name for it is "long non-coding RNA (PPER_LNC005633)". The record is from RNAcentral. Lineage: Eukaryota; Viridiplantae; Streptophyta; Magnoliopsida; Rosales; Rosaceae.
AUGUUCUCAGGAAUCUUGUGCAUUGGAACGUGUCCAGGUCCUUCAUUCAUUACCUGUACAUCCUUUUCCCAUGCCCUACGGGUCAGUUCUCCCUGAGUUAAGAGCUCUGCAAACUGUGCAGUGUCAUUGGCAUCAUAAAUGGAACCAGGUCUCAGCCCAUCACCUAUUGACAGGGCUACAUCAUAUUGAUUGCAGAUGUCAAGUAUGUCAUCCCAAUGUUCAUAAGCAAAAUUCUCUUUGUG